AUUGAACGCUGGCGGCAUGCCUUACACAUGCAAGUCGAACGGCAGCACGGGAGCUUGCUCCUGGUGGCGAGUGGCGAACGGGUGAGUAAUACAUCGGAACGUACCCUGAAGUGGGGGAUAACGUAGCGAAAGUUACGCUAAUACCGCAUAUUCUGUGAGCAGGAAAGAGGGGGAUCGCAAGACCUCUUGCUUUAGGAGCGGCCGAUGUCGGAUUAGCUAGUUGGUGAGGUAAAGGCUCACCAAGGCGACGAUCCGUAGCGGGUCUGAGAGGAUGAUCCGCCACACUGGGACUGAGACACGGCCCAGACUCCUACGGGAGGCAGCAGUGGGGAAUUUUGGACAAUGGGCGCAAGCCUGAUCCAGCCAUGCCGCGUGAGUGAAGAAGGCCUCGGUUGUAAGACUCUUCGUGGGAGGAA
Molecule: ribosomal RNA, 416 nt
Filed under: uncultured bacterium
Lineage: Bacteria
Description: bacterial SSU rRNA
Rfam family: Bacterial small subunit ribosomal RNA
Source: RNAcentral